GGAAGUGUGGCCGAGUGGUUUAAGGCUCUAGUCUUGAAAACUAGCGUGGGGGGAACUCCACCGUGGGUUCGAAUCCCACCGCUUCCG
RNAcentral lists this transfer RNA (87 nucleotides) under Neogemmobacter tilapiae. Its description in RNAcentral is "Catellibacterium sp. Ruye-53 tRNA". It matches the Rfam family "tRNA". From Rfam's summary of the family: Transfer RNA (tRNA) molecules are approximately 80 nucleotides in length. Their secondary structure includes four short double-helical elements and three loops (D, anti-codon, and T loops). Lineage: Bacteria; Pseudomonadati; Pseudomonadota; Alphaproteobacteria; Rhodobacterales; Paracoccaceae. RNAcentral also lists the same sequence under 1 other name. The record is from Rfam by way of RNAcentral.